Molecule: long non-coding RNA, 204 nt
Filed under: Carica papaya (papaya)
Lineage: Eukaryota; Viridiplantae; Streptophyta; Magnoliopsida; Brassicales; Caricaceae
Description: long non-coding RNA (CPAP_LNC001344)
Source: RNAcentral
CAUAAAACAAUAUACGAAAGCAAUAACAUUAUCAUCAUCAUGAAGUCAUAUGAACUGUAUAACAUAGUACUUAUCACGCCUUUUAUAAUUCAAUUAUUACACAACAUAUUUUUCCUCUUUUACCAGCCUACUAGUAUCCAUGGAGAUCCAUAGGGGUCCCACUACCCGUGAACCCUUAACACUUGUAAUCAGAUUCCAGGGCCG